AAUCACCGCUCGGCUGUGGGGCCUGCGCUCCUCCGGGCCCUUCCCCGGCUUCCUGCUGCCAGCGCCUCCCUCGGGCUCCGGUUGGGGAGGAGGACAAGCUGGCGACUGGGGUAUCCCUUUUCAGACUGCCGCGUGGGUCUCUCCUGGCCCUGCGCCCCGCACUGUGGACCCCUCUCGGUCAUGCUGAGGCAGCCUAGGGCCGCGGGCAGCCCAGACUGCACUUUGGUGGGUAUCAGAAAACGUCCCGCCUGGGUGGGAGGCGCCCCUCUUCUGCCCUACAGGGGAAGGCAAUCCGGGAGUCUGCAGAGCAGCGACAGUGGAGUGCUCUGCCACCACCCUUGCCCCCUGCAGUCCUUUCUUCGCCCAUCCCUCCUCCGCCUGCGGGUCUGCAGGGGCUCGGGUAGGGCUUCGCGCCUCCCGCGGUCCAGCUGUCUACAUCUGGCCAGCAGCUGGGAGCCGCCCACCGCGAACUACUGAGGACACAGCGCCCUCUGUUGGGUCUCGCCCUGCCGCCUAGGCUGGAGUGCAGUGGUGCAAUCAAGGCUUGCUGCAGCCUCGACAUCCAGAGCUCAAGCGAUUCUCCCACCUCAGCCUCCCGAGUAGUUGGGACUACAGGACUACAGACGCAUGCCACCACGACCGUCUUUUUUUUUUUUUUAGAGGCGGAGUCUCGCUUUGUAUUUUAAGCUGGUCUCUGAACUCCUGGGCUCAAGUUAUCCUCCCGCCUCCAAUUCCCAAAGUGCUGGGGUUACAGAGACUGAGCCACUGCCCCUGGCCAGAACACACUAAAUUUUUUAAAAGAUCCCGUUUAAAACUAGGAAUUGGGGGACCUAGCCUCCUGACAAGAGCUAAUAUAAUUAUGUCAUUGUGAUUUUCUUUUUAAAACUGUAAUGGUUUGUAGUGAGAACAGGUUUCCAAUCUCUGAAUCCCAGGGCCCAGGGAAGUCAAGAAGUUGUUAAUUGCUUCCAUGCAGAAGCCAAAUCCAUAUGCACAUUCAGUAUUGUCUGUGAAUGAAUAAUGGGUUUAUUUUCCAUUGCAUUGCACAUGUAUGAAGAUGCUGCCGUGAUUAAUAAUGCAGAAAAUUUGUAAAUAGUUUAAUACCUUUUUAAAAA
Pan troglodytes (chimpanzee) is the source of this 1112-nucleotide long non-coding RNA. RefSeq lists it as uncharacterized. The transcript is spliced from 3 exons. NCBI's taxonomy places the organism in Eukaryota, Metazoa, Chordata, Mammalia, Primates, Hominidae. The record is from RefSeq and is a predicted model, not a curated record.